RNAcentral lists this long non-coding RNA (1280 nucleotides) under Nicotiana benthamiana. Its description in RNAcentral is "long non-coding RNA (NBEN_LNC014746)". Lineage: Eukaryota; Viridiplantae; Streptophyta; Magnoliopsida; Solanales; Solanaceae. The record is from RNAcentral.
UCUUGUUAUGAUAAAAAGGGUGGAUAAGGGAUUUUCUAGCCCAUGCACGCAACAUUGGUUUCUUGCGAGCGGUAUUUGGUCCUCUGUUAGUAGUCACUUUGUCAAUAAACACUUUAUUUUUCUGAACACAUUGAGCCCUGGUCUGAUAAUUUUCUUUGAAGUGCCCAUUGUUCAUACAGUGGGUACACAGCCAGUUAUCAGGAACUGUGACAUACUUUCUGUUAGGGUUGUAAGGAAUUUUAUCCUUUUGGAACCCGAUUCCCUGUCUGUUUUCACUAUUGUUGAAGUACAUGACAGUGACAGCAUCUAAGGACCAAGUCCAAUUGGGAGAUUUCUCAAGAUCACCUUUUACUUUCUUCAAUUCAGCUUGAAGCUGCCUAUUUUUUCGAGUUCAACACAUAUCCUAGUUCUAGCAGCUUUCAACUCAUUUUAAGGCCUAAUAUGUUCCUCACUGGAUUUUUCCUUUCCUUUUCCAGAAUUUUUAGGCUUUGACCUAAUCUCGAUCUAUCAAUGAUUUCCCUUAGGUCUACAAUUACUGUCAAGAGAUCAUUUUUUUCAUCUUUGAGUUUUUGAAUGGUUUCCUUAUGGUCGAUAAUUACAGCCACUAAGUCAUCUCUGGUUUGUUCAGCUUUUCCUAGUUCUAAGAUCACAUAAUCCCUAUCCUCCACAAGACUAUGAUAGGCAUCGAUCAAUACACUAACUAAAAAUAUGGGUUUCUUAGGAGAGUAGGAUUUCAGAUUUAUCUAAACAUACCUGAAAUUUACCUCCUUGUUGUCAUCGUCUUCAUCAUUAUUUGGUUGUGCCAUCAACACAAAGGUUGAGCCAUAUUCAUUUUCCUCGCCUUCACUUGCCAUCAUGGAGCUAUCACUAGCAACAAUUUCAUCUUCAGACUCACCAAAUGCAAGAGCUUGUUUCACCACAUUACAAGCAUGUCUCUUUUUAUUGAAGUCCUUGAAGGGCAUCAGGUUCCUCUUAGCCAUUUUUUCAGACUUAUUCUUAGAAUACUCUUGCUUCCAGGCUUUCCACACUUAGGACAGAAAUCAUAGUUUUUUGGUUUGCUGGAGCUACCCCUGUUUAGCAUUUCUCCAUUUCUACCAACCAUCUUCUGAAAUCUUUUGGUUUGGUAAGCCAUGUCACUUUCUUCCUCACUUGAGUCAUUUCUAUCGGCUUUGAGCACCACGUUCUUGUCAUUUAAAAUAAAAGUUCUUCCAGCACCCUUUUCAACAUUUGGUGGAGCACCCAUAAGGAUCCUUUCUAGGUGUUAACCUUUUAGAAAGAAC